AUUGAACGCCGGCGGCAUGCUUUACACAUGCAAGUCGAACGGCAGCGCGGGAUUCGGCCUGGCGGCGAGUGGCGAACGGGUGAGUAAUACAUCGGAACAUGCCCGGUUGUGGGGUAUAGCGCGGCGAAAGCCGGAUUAAUACGGCAAAAGACCUGAGGGUGAAAGGGGGGGAUCUUCGGACCUUGCGCCCUUGGAGCGGCCGAUGGCGGAUUAGCUAGUUGGUGGGGUAAAGGCCUACCAAGGCGACGAUCUGUAGCUGGUCUGAGAGGACGAGCAGCCACACUGGGACUGAGACACGGCCCAGACUCCUACGGGAGGCAGCAGUGGGGAAUUUUGGACAAUGGGCGAAAGCCUGAUCCAGCAAUGCCGCGUGUGUGAUGAAGGCCUUCGGGUUGUAAAGCACUUUUGGCGGGAACGAAAAGGACUGUGCCAAUACCACGGUUCGAUGACGGUACCCGCAGAAUAAGCACCGGCUAACUACGUG
Molecule: ribosomal RNA, 484 nt
Filed under: uncultured bacterium
Lineage: Bacteria
Description: partial 16S ribosomal RNA
Rfam family: Bacterial small subunit ribosomal RNA
Source: RNAcentral